AAGUGUGUGAGGGUUGUAUGGCCCGAGCAGUGAGAGGGUGUGGUUUUGAUGUGGGGGUUAGUGGGUAUGCAAGUACCCAGCAACCUUUUUCAACACAAACAAUACGAUUUUGAACAAGGUAUGAGCAAGUGAUUACGACACA
This 142-nucleotide unclassified non-coding RNA is filed under the name soil metagenome. Its description in RNAcentral is "partial internal transcribed spacer 1". The record is from RNAcentral.